Molecule: ribosomal RNA, 484 nt
Filed under: uncultured bacterium
Lineage: Bacteria
Description: partial 16S ribosomal RNA
Rfam family: Bacterial small subunit ribosomal RNA
Source: RNAcentral
AUUGAACGCUGGCGGCAGGCCUAACACAUGCAAGUCGAGCGGAUGAAGGGAGCUUGCUCCUGGAUUCAGCGGCGGACGGGUGAGUAAUGCCUAGGAAUCUGCCUGGUAGUGGGGGAUAACGUCCGGAAACGGGCGCUAAUACCGCAUACGUCCUGAGGGAGAAAGUGGGGGAUCUUCGGACCUCACGCUAUCAGAUGAGCCUAGGUCGGAUUAGCUAGUUUGUGGGGUAAAGGCCUACCAAGGCGACGAUCCGUAACUGGUCUGAGAGGAUGAUCAGUCACACUGGAACUGAGACACGGUCCAGACUCCUACGGGAGGCAGCAGUGGGGAAUAUUGGACAAUGGGCGAAAGCCUGAUCCAGCCAUGCCGCGUGUGUGAAGAAGGUCUUCGGAUUGUAAAGCACUUUAAGUUGGGAGGAAGGGCAGUAAGUUAAUACCUUGCUGUUUUGACGUUACCAACAGAAUAAGCACCGGCUAACUUCGUG